UCAGAAAGAGAGAUGCUGAGAAAGGAGGAAAGAAAGAAAAGAAGAAAAAGGAGAAAAAGGAAAAGGGGAAGAACUAGGAGCAAUUAGGGUUUGAAGAAAAAAUUGAAGAGGUCCUGGAGUUUAGUAGCCGCGUGUGACCUAGCCGGAGGUUCUUCCUUGGUUAUUGGAGACUAGGUAGUGAGUCGAUGCUCUGGUCAUGUAACACUGGGUAGAUUAGGUGUAUUGAACUCAUGUUAUAUUUGCUCAUGUAUUAUGCUAUGACUUGUGAACUUUUGUUGGUUGCUUGUCGUUUUGAGAGGCUCAAAAGCCAAACAUUCUGAUUUUAUCUUAUGUUGAAUUGAGACCAUUAGUCGAUGUAUGAUCAUGGUAUGGGACAUGAAUCAUUAUGAAUCACAUGAGUAUCAUAUUUUCCGCUGUAAA
Vicia villosa (hairy vetch) is the source of this 420-nucleotide long non-coding RNA. RefSeq lists it as uncharacterized. The record is from RefSeq and is a predicted model, not a curated record. The transcript is spliced from 2 exons. Lineage: Eukaryota; Viridiplantae; Streptophyta; Magnoliopsida; Fabales; Fabaceae.